RNAcentral lists this ribosomal RNA (460 nucleotides) under uncultured bacterium. RNAcentral describes it as "partial 16S ribosomal RNA". It matches the Rfam family "Bacterial small subunit ribosomal RNA", at positions 338 to 795 of the family's 1533-position model. The record is from RNAcentral.
CCUACGGGAGGCAGCAGUGAGGAAUAUUGGUCAAUGGACGCAAGUCUGAACCAGCCAUGCCGCGUGCAGGAAGACGGCUCUAUGAGUUGUAAACUGCUUUUGUACGAGGGUAAAUCCCGAUACGUGUACCGGGUUGAAAGUAUCGUACGAAUAAGGAUCGGCUAACUCCGUGCCAGCAGCCGCGGUAAUACGGAGGAUUCAAGCGUAAUCCGGAUUUAUUGGGUUUAAAGGGUGCGUAGGCGGUUCGAUAAGUUAGCGGUGAAAUCGCGGGGCUCAACUCCGGCCCUGCGUGGGAUGCUGUCCGGAUAGAGGUUAUUUGCGGUAGGCGGAAGGUAUGGUGUAGCGGUGAAAUGCAUAGAGUUCAUACAGAAGACCGAUUGCGAAGGCAGCUUACCAAACUACAACGGACGUUGAGGCACGAAAGCGUGGGGAGCAAACAGGAUUAGAUACCCUUGUAGUC